UUUGACUGGGGCGGUCUCCUCCUAAAGAGUAACGGAGGAGCACGAAGGUUGGCUAAUCCUGGUCGGACAUCAGGAGGUUAGUGCAAUGGCAUAAGCCAGCUUGACUGCGAGCGUGACGGCGCGAGCAGGUGCGAAAGCAGGUCAUAGUGAUCCGGUGGUUCUGAAUGGAAGGGCCAUCGCUCAACGGAUAAAAGGUACUCCGGGGAUAACAGGCUGAUACCGCCCAAGAGUUCAUAUCGACGGCGGUGUUUGGCACCUCGAUGUCGGCUCAUCACAUCCUGGGGCUGAAGUAGGUCCCAAGGGUAUGGCUGUUCGCCAUUUAAAGUGGUACGCGAGCUGGGUUUAGAACGUCGUGAGACAGUUCGGUCCCUAUCUGCCGUGGGCGCUGGAGAACUGAGGGGGGCUGCUCCUAGUACGAGAGGACCGGAGUGGACGCAUCACUGGUGUUCGGGUUGUCAUGCCAAUGGCACUGCCCGGUAGCUAAAUGCGGAAGAGAUAAGUGCUGAAAGCAUCUAAGCACGAAACUUGCCCCGAGAUGAGUUCUCCCUGACUCCUUGAGAGUCCUGAAGGAACGUUGAAGACGACGACGUUGAUAGGCCGGGUGUGUAAGCGCAGCGAUGCGUUGAGCUAACCGGUACUAAUGAACCGUGAGGCUUAACC
RNAcentral lists this ribosomal RNA (660 nucleotides) under Escherichia coli. Its description in RNAcentral is "partial 23S ribosomal RNA". It matches the Rfam family "Bacterial large subunit ribosomal RNA", at positions 2269 to 2925 of the family's 2925-position model. The record is from RNAcentral. Lineage: Bacteria; Pseudomonadati; Pseudomonadota; Gammaproteobacteria; Enterobacterales; Enterobacteriaceae.